UACAGGGGGGGCAAGCGUUGUUCGGAAUUACUGGGCGUAAAGGGCUCGUAGGCGGCCGGCUAAGUCCGACGUGAAAUCCCCAGGCUUAACCUGGGAACUGCGUCGGAUACUGGCGGGCUUGAAUCCGGGAGAGGGAUGCGGAAUUCCAGGUGUAGCGGUGAAAUGCGUAGAUAUCUGGAGGAACACCGGUGGCGAAGGCGGCCCACUGGUCCGGUACUGACGCUGAGGUGCGAAAGCGUGGGGAGCAAACAGG
Molecule: ribosomal RNA, 253 nt
Filed under: uncultured bacterium
Lineage: Bacteria
Description: partial 16S ribosomal RNA
Rfam family: Bacterial small subunit ribosomal RNA
Source: RNAcentral